RNAcentral lists this ribosomal RNA (929 nucleotides) under Trypanosyllis zebra. Its description in RNAcentral is "bacterial SSU rRNA". It matches the Rfam family "Eukaryotic small subunit ribosomal RNA", at positions 945 to 1818 of the family's 1831-position model. The record is from RNAcentral. Lineage: Eukaryota; Metazoa; Annelida; Polychaeta; Phyllodocida; Syllidae.
GCGAAAGCAUUCGCCCAGAAUGUUUUCAUUAGUCAAGAACGAAAGUUGGUGUAGCGAAGAGGAUCAGAUACCCUCCUAGUACUGACCGUAAACGAUGCCAACAGGAGGCCGGCGGAAGUAACUUGCAUUGUGGGACUUGGCACCGUCGGAACCCCGCGGGAAACCCGAGUGUUUGGGUUCUGGGGGUAGUAUGGUUGCAAAGCUGAAACUUAAAGGUAUUGACGGAAGGGCACCACAAGGAGUGGAGCUUGCGGCUUAAUUUGACUCAACGCGGGGCAACUCACCCGGUCCGGACACCGCGGGGAUUGACAGAUUGAUAGCUCUUUCUUGAUUCGGUGGGUGGUGGUGCAUGGCCGUUCUUAGUACGUGGUGCAAACUGUCAGGUUAAAUCCGCUAACGUACGCGACUCUAGCCUAUUUACUAGAGCUGGACGAUGAUAAUAAGUCGCCGAUGCGAGGAACUUCUUAGGGGGAUCCAUUGCGUGGGAGAAGCGGAUGAAAUAGAGCAAUAACAGGUCUGUGAUGCCCUUAGAUGUUCGGGGCCGCACGCGCGCUACACUGAAAAGGAAAGAGGGUGUCCGAGAAUGAGCCGGGCGCGCGAGCCGCCUUAGAGAAAUCUUAGAAACCUUAUCGUGCUAGGGAUUAGGGUUUGGAACUGUUGCCUAUCAACGAGGAAUUCCAAGUAAGUGCGAGUGACUAGCUUGCGUUGAUCAAGUCCCUGCCCUUUGUACACACCGCCCGUCGCUACCACUGAGCUAGCGGCUUAGCAAGGGCGUCGAGACGCGUCCUGGGGGCUCUUGGCGUGUACGGUGUGUCGGCUUCGGUCGGCCGCCGGCCACUUUGCCGGCCUCAGGUGGGCGUGAAAGGCGUUCAAACUCGGCUGCUUCUAGGAGGUAAAAGUCGUAACAAGGUUGCCGUAGGUGAACCUGC